CUACCACUCCCUCCGUCCAAAAAUACUUGUCAUUGAAAUGGAUGUAUCUAGAUGUAUUUUAGUUCUAGACACAUCUGUUUUGAUGACAAGUAAUUCCGGACGGAGAGAGUAUUAU
Molecule: non-coding RNA, 115 nt
Organism: Triticum aestivum (bread wheat)
Lineage: Eukaryota; Viridiplantae; Streptophyta; Magnoliopsida; Poales; Poaceae
Source: Rfam